GGGAAUAUUGGGCAAUGGGCGAAAGCCUGACCCAGCAACGCCGCGUGAAGGAAGAAGGUCUUCGGAUUGUAAACUUCUUUUAUGAGGGACGAAGGACGUGACGGUACCUCAUGAAUAAGCCACGGCUACCUACGUGCCCGCAGCCGCGGUAAUACGUAGGUGGCAAGCGUUAUCCGGAUUUACUGGGUGUAAAGUGCGCGUAGGCGGGGAUGCAAGUCAGAUGUGAAAUCUAUGGGCUUAACUCAUAAACUGCAUUUGAAACUGUAUCUCUUGAGUGCUGGAGAGGUAGACGGAAUUCCUUGUGUAGCGGUGAAAUGCGUAGAUAUAAGGAAGAACACCAGUGGCGAAGGCGGUCUACUGGACAGUAACUGACGCUGAGGCGCGAGAGCGUGGGGAGCAAACAGG
RNAcentral lists this ribosomal RNA (405 nucleotides) under uncultured bacterium. Its description in RNAcentral is "bacterial SSU rRNA". It matches the Rfam family "Bacterial small subunit ribosomal RNA", at positions 357 to 776 of the family's 1533-position model. The record is from RNAcentral.